CGGCACCUCAAGUGGUCAGGAUGAUUAUUGGGCCUAAAGCAUCCGUAGCCGGCUCCGUAAGUUUUCGGUUAAAUCUGUACGCUCAACGUACAGGCUGCCGGGAAUACUGCAGAGCUAGGGAGUGGGAGAGGUAGACGGUACUCGGUAGGAAGGGGUAAAAUCCUUUGAUCUAUUGAUGACCACCUGUGGCGAAGGCGGUCUACCAGAACACGUCCGACGGUGAGGGAUGAAAGCUGGGGGAGCAAACCGGAUUAGAUACCCGAGUAGUCC
This 270-nucleotide ribosomal RNA is filed under the name uncultured archaeon. RNAcentral describes it as "partial 16S ribosomal RNA". It matches the Rfam family "Archaeal small subunit ribosomal RNA", at positions 477 to 747 of the family's 1478-position model. The record is from RNAcentral.